ACAUUUUGGCACGCGUUUCCUGAUUUCUACGCCGUUUCCAUGGUGACUGUAGGAUGCAACAUGUUUUUUAGCAGUGAUGGAGGGGUGUGGGGAAGCCCUCCUGUCAUCUAGACAUCUGUUGUUUGUGGCUCCUGCAUGCAGCAGAUCCUUCUGGGAAGAACCACGUUAAAAGUUGCUGCUGUGACACCAACAUUUCCCCACUGAGGGAAAUCUCAGGCUGCCAAAAGGGAAGCCAACACGAAAGUGACAGAAAUUGCAGUUCCAUCCUCAUCCACUAGGGACUGGCUCCAUAAAGGGCAACAAAGGACAUUGUCGCCCUUGUGCAGUAACAGACCACUGCACAAGGGAAAACCAUAUAACGGACUGGGACAGAAGAGCGAUAAUCAACACCAAAAAACAAAAAUACAAAAGAUGAAUUAGGAAAGCCAUAGACAUAAGGAGACACGGACAUGGAAUCAUGAACAGAGACGAUGGAGGCUAAUCGUUAGAUCAUGCAUGGGACUGUGUCAUCGAUGAGGAGAGCGCGGGCAGCAGAGGGCAACAGCGUGGCAGAGCAUGACCUCGCAUAAGCAGCCAGGGCACCCAGCUCCGAUUUCAUUGAUCUGAGGCUCUACUUAUGUUUUAAAUGUCCAUAUUAGAGCUCCACAGGCGACUGACACAACUAGCCUCGUAUGGAAGACAGGCGGUCCGGAGCUCCGUCUAGCUUCGGGGGUUAGCUUAACUAGCUAGAAGCUACAUUGGUUCAUUUGUUCCCACCCUCAAAGCCCCUCCCUCAGCUCCACCUCUUUUCCCAUUUUUGGAUUGUCUAAGCGUGGCGAGACGUGUGACACAGCCAAAAUGGCGAUGGUGGGAACUUCCCAUUUUCAAACAAUUAGAGAGAUAAAUUGGCGUUGCUCUGUCCAGAAAUGAACAUGUGUCUAUGGCUCUGGCAAGAGCAACACAAUUACAAGCAUUUCUGUUUUAUCAUUUAGAUCAUAGAGCCUGCAAAAUCAAACAGACAGAAUGAUCACCAAUGCCGGCUACCUAAAUUUUCCUGACACGGGAUAACUGACCAUCAAAAUUAAACCAGUCUGUGAACUGGUCCUCUACCCCCAGUCUACCAAAAGUUGGAAAAGCAACAAUCAGGAGCAGAUAUUAGAUCUCAUGGAUCAAAAUGGGGAAACAGAAAGUUGUCGAGGAUAACAGGACACAUCCAACAUGUCCUCACAUAAAAUUAUGGUUUCUUCAGGAGCUGUGAUCACAAGAUCAGGUGCAAGACCUGAUGGUGGGAACAGACAUAGAUUUUCCAUCUCAAAGGGAGAAGAACAGAUGAUGAAAUGUAUGAAUUCUACUUGCAUCUCAAGUCAAAAGUGUGCUAAUUUUCAAACAUGUCAAAUGCUGCAACAAAGUUCUUUACUUAAGCUGCUCCCCAGGAGAAAAAAUAACCCUGUCUUAGUUUUGGGUGUCUGCAAUGAACUGUUUCCUAGAGGAAAAUAAAGAUGAUAGAAUAAAAAUUUAUGUUUAUUAAUAUGGUUCUAAGUCUUAAUGGUAAUCCUAGAACAGAUGAAGAAAACUGGACUUCAUGGUUUCGUGAAGAUAUUUAACUUCUCAUCCAAUGAACUUGAUCAGUUCUUUAAAUAAUGACUGACAUAUGAGGGGAAGUGUCUCUUAGGUAAACGAUUAUAUACGUGAUUGCACAGCAAGGCCUGCAUGAACAGAAGCAUAAUCUACUUUAUGUGUUUAAAAUAUCAUUAAACUCAAAAGUGAUCAAAUAUUUUUCCUCCUGGAAAAUAAUUUAAAAAACUGAGAUUGAAGUUGACUACAACAUCUCACUAUGGCCCGUAAGAGUUUUGAAAAGGCGGGCAGACAUACUCCUGAAGUCUGUAAAAUAACGCAAAAAGUCAAAUAAAAUAAUAACUUAUCAAUUAUUUAAUAGUUUGAUGUAA
Nothobranchius furzeri (turquoise killifish) is the source of this 1925-nucleotide long non-coding RNA. RefSeq lists it as uncharacterized. The record is from RefSeq and is a predicted model, not a curated record. Lineage: Eukaryota; Metazoa; Chordata; Actinopteri; Cyprinodontiformes; Nothobranchiidae.